Molecule: ribosomal RNA, 468 nt
Filed under: uncultured bacterium
Lineage: Bacteria
Description: bacterial SSU rRNA
Rfam family: Bacterial small subunit ribosomal RNA
Source: RNAcentral
UCAGGAUUAACGCUGGCGGCGUGCCUAAUACAUGCAAGUCGAAUGGUAGCAAUACCAUGGCGAACGGGUGAGUAACACGUAGGUAACCUGUCUUUAAGCCGAGGAUAACCAUUGGAAACGAUGGAUAAUACUGGAUAGGACAUUUGAAGGCAUCUUUGAAUGUUUAAAGAUUUAUCACUUAGAGAGGGGCCUGCGGCGCAUUAGCUAGUUGGUGAGGUGAAGGCUUACCAGGGCGAUGAUGCGUAGCCGGACUGAGAGGUUGAACGGCCACAAUGGAACUGAGAACGGUCCAUACUCCUACGGGAGGCAGCAGUAGGGAAUUUUCGGCAAUGGGCGGAAGCCUGAACCCGAGCAACGCCGCGUGAACGAAGAAGUAUUUCGGUAUGUAAAGUUCUUUUAUUAGGGACGAAAAGACAGAUUGACGGUACCUAAUGAAUAAGCUCCGGCUAACUACGUGCCAGCAGCGGC